Molecule: ribosomal RNA, 301 nt
Filed under: uncultured bacterium
Lineage: Bacteria
Description: partial 16S ribosomal RNA
Rfam family: Bacterial small subunit ribosomal RNA
Source: RNAcentral
CAGCAGCCACGGGAAUACGUAGGGUGCGAGCCUUAAUCGGAAUUACUGGGCGUAAAGCGUGCGCAGGCGGUUGUGUAAGACAGGUGUGAAAUCCCCGGGCUUAACCUGGGAACUGCGCUCGUGACUGCACAGCUAGAGUAUGGCAGAGGGGGGUGGAAUUCCACGUGUAGCAGUGAAAUGCGUAGAGAUGUGGAGGAACACCGAUGGCGAAGGCAGCCCCCUGGGCCAAUACUGACGCUCAUGCACGAAAGCGUGGGGAGCAAACAGGAUUAGAUACCCCGGUAGUCCCUGUCUCUUAUAC